This 256-nucleotide unclassified non-coding RNA is filed under the name fungal sp. RNAcentral describes it as "partial internal transcribed spacer region". The stretch from base 1 to 46 matches the Rfam family "Eukaryotic small subunit ribosomal RNA", at positions 1786 to 1831 of the family's 1831-position model. The record is from RNAcentral. Lineage: Eukaryota; Fungi.
AAGUCGUAACAAGGUUUCCGUAGGUGAACCUGCGGAAGGAUCAUUACUGAGAUAGGGUUCUUUUGAGCCCGACCUCCAACCCUUUGUUUAAACUACUUUGUUGCUUUGGCAGGCCCGCUCUUCGGGGCCGCUGGGGGCGUUCAGUCGCCUCUGGUCAGUGCUUGCCAGUAGCCAAUUUAAAUUCUUUUUAACUAUGUCGUCUGAAUAAUAAUAAUAAAUUUAAUUAAAACUUUCAACAACGGAUCUCUUGGUUCUG